GCAAGUCGAACGGAAACAGGACGCUGUAAUCUCUUCGGAGUGAACUUGUCGCUGUCGAGUGGCGGACGGGUGAAUAAUGCAUAGAAAUUUGCCUUGAAGUGGGGGAUAGCCCGGAGAAAUCCGGAUUAAUACCGCAUAUGCUCUACGGAGCAAAGUGGGCCUCUGAUUUAAGCUCAUGCUUUGAGAUAAGCCUAUGUCGGAUUAGCUUGUUGGUGGGGUAAAAGCCUACCAAGGCGACGAUCCGUAGCUGGUCUGAGAGGAUGAUC
Molecule: ribosomal RNA, 266 nt
Filed under: uncultured bacterium
Lineage: Bacteria
Description: partial 16S ribosomal RNA
Rfam family: Bacterial small subunit ribosomal RNA
Source: RNAcentral